RNAcentral lists this ribosomal RNA (356 nucleotides) under uncultured bacterium. Its description in RNAcentral is "bacterial SSU rRNA". It matches the Rfam family "Bacterial small subunit ribosomal RNA", at positions 8 to 354 of the family's 1533-position model. The record is from RNAcentral.
AGAGUUUGAUCAUGGCUCAGGACGAACGCUGGCGGCGUGCCUAACACAUGCAAGUCGAACGGAGUUCAGAUGGAAGCUUGCGAAAUCUGAAUUUAGUGGCGGACGGGUGAGUAACGCGUGGAUAACCUGCCCAAAAGACCGGGAUAACGCCGGGAAACUGGUGCUAAUACCGGAUACGCUUAUUGGAACGCAUGUUCUGAUAAGGAAAGGUGAAAACCGCUUAUGGAUGGAUCCGCGUCCCAUUAGCUAGUUGGGGGUGUAAAAGACCACCAAGGCGACGAUGGGUAGCCGGCCUGAGAGGGCGAACGGCCACACUGGGACUGAGACACGGCCCAGACUCCUACGGGACGCAGCAG